ACAUAAGCUACGUCGUUUUCAUGCCUAAAUGCAGAAUGCCUAGUUAGAACAAAGAGGAGAUCUGGGACGUGAAUUAAGAUCUUCUCUGCAUAUUGCAGGAAACAUAAAUUUUUCAGUUGCCAAUUUAUGUUCGCAUUACGGGUGUGAAUAUUUGAAGGUCUUGGGUGCUCCAAGCUUUGAUUUAGAUCAUUUUGGGUGACACGCACGGUCAGAAAUAUUUUGUGAGGAUGAAUAGAAAAUUUGGUGGUGGAAGGCAACCGAUUGGGACUCCUUCACUGGCUUGGUCCAGUGUGGUUGUUGUCUGCUCUCUUCUUGCCGGUGCUUCUGUUGUUCACAAUAUCUAUAAGCCUAAUCUUACAUUGCCUCCUGUUGAUGGAGUUGAUGGGACCAAGCAGAAACCUGAUGGAAAAGAAUGAUCAUCUUAAUCCCUUUUAGUAUCCUUAGAUACCAAGCUUUGGGGCUUAAAGUUAAUUGCCAGUAGUCUGAUAAACAAAACUACAAAAGAUUCAAUUUGAAUGAGAAUGUUAUUUCAUUCCUUUGGAGUUUUCUUUGCACGCGUAUGUUUUAAACUUUUGGUGGAUGUAUGGUUGCAACAUUUUUGGCGGACUAAUUUGGUGGCCAAAAUAUUUAGAAAACUGA
Molecule: long non-coding RNA, 639 nt
Organism: Vigna unguiculata (cowpea)
Lineage: Eukaryota; Viridiplantae; Streptophyta; Magnoliopsida; Fabales; Fabaceae
Source: RefSeq, a predicted model, not a curated record